RNAcentral lists this ribosomal RNA (252 nucleotides) under uncultured bacterium. RNAcentral's name for it is "partial 16S ribosomal RNA". It matches the Rfam family "Bacterial small subunit ribosomal RNA", at positions 524 to 776 of the family's 1533-position model. The record is from RNAcentral.
UACGAAGGGGGCUAGCGUUGCUCGGAAUUACUGGGCGUAAAGCGCACGUAGGCGGUCUUUUAAGUCGGGGGUGAAAUCCUGGAGCUCAACUCCAGAACUGCCUUCGAUACUGGAAGACUCGAGUCCGGGAGAGGUGAGUGGAACUGCGAGUGUAGAGGUGAAAUUCGUAGAUAUUCGCAAGAACACCAGUGGCGAAGGCGGCUCACUGGCCCGGUACUGACGCUGAGGUGCGAAAGCGUGUGAGCAAACAGG